RNAcentral lists this ribosomal RNA (253 nucleotides) under uncultured prokaryote. RNAcentral's name for it is "partial 16S ribosomal RNA". It matches the Rfam family "Bacterial small subunit ribosomal RNA", at positions 524 to 776 of the family's 1533-position model. The record is from RNAcentral.
UACGAAGGAUCCAAGCGUUAUCCGGAUUUAUUGGGUUUAAAGGGUGCGUAGGCGGGCUAUUAAGUCAGUGGUGAAAGCCCCAAGCUUAACUCGGAAACUGCCGUUGAUACUAUCUGUCUUGAAUGUCGUGGAGGCAGGCGGAAUAUGUCAUGUAGCGGUGAAAUGCUUAGAUAUGACAUAGAACACCAAUUGCGAAGGCAGCUUGCUACACGAUGAUUGACGCUGAGGCACGAAAGCGUGGGGAUCAAACAGG